CAAUGUUACAACUGCCUAGGAUUCGGUC
RNAcentral lists this small RNA (28 nucleotides) under Bombyx mori (domestic silkworm). Its description in RNAcentral is "ovarian small RNA-12874". The record is from RNAcentral. Lineage: Eukaryota; Metazoa; Arthropoda; Insecta; Lepidoptera; Bombycidae.